This 424-nucleotide ribosomal RNA is filed under the name Verrucomicrobiota bacterium. Its description in RNAcentral is "Verrucomicrobia bacterium partial 16S ribosomal RNA". It matches the Rfam family "Bacterial small subunit ribosomal RNA", at positions 355 to 776 of the family's 1533-position model. Lineage: Bacteria; Pseudomonadati; Verrucomicrobiota. The record is from RNAcentral.
UGAGGAAUAUUGGUCAAUGGGCGAGAGCCUGAACCAGCCAAGUAGCGUGCAGGAUGACGGCCCUAUGGGUUGUAAACUGCUUUUAUAUGGGAAUAAAGUGAGGGACGUGUCCCUUAUUGCAUGUACCAUACGAAUAAGGACCGGCUAAUUCCGUGCCAGCAGCCGCGGUAAUACGGAAGGUCCAGGCGUUAUCCGGAUUCAUUGGGCGUAAAGCGCUCGUAGGCGGUCUGUUAGGUCGGCAAGUUAAAUCCGGGGGCUCAACCCCCGUCCGCUUCCGAUACCGGCAGACUUGAGUUUGGUAGGGGAAGGUGGAAUUCCUAGUGUAGCGGUGGAAUGCGCAGAUAUUAGGAAGAACACCGGUGGCGAAGGCGGCCUUCUGGGCCAUAACUGACGCUGAGGAGCGAAAGCUAGGGGAGCGAACAGG